UUGAUUAAAUGAUAUAUAUUGUUUUAUUUAGAAUAUAUUUUAUAUUUAAGCCUGUCACGUCAUCACAUUUUAACCCCGUUUGUCUUUUGUUAACGACAGGGGCACGGAUGACCCAAAAAUAUAACGUUAAGAGUACUUUUGAAAAAAAAAUUAAUUUAAGGUGCAAGUGGGACAUUACGGUAAACAUCAAGGGCUUUUUUGACCCUUUGCCCUAAGACAACAUUCACAACACCUUCAGUGCGCUGCACUCAACUCAACACUUCAAUCUGUGUACAUUACAUAAUAGAAAUCAAGCUUUUGAGCACCUAUUAAGUUUUCUUAGUCAAACAAACCACCUGUGCCUAAUCCCCCUCACAACAACUCCUUCCGACACUGCUCUUCUAAAGGAUCUGGACUCUUCAUUAUUCUUCUCAUUUGUCUGAAAAUAAAAUCAAGGCCAAUUUAAUUCUAAUUAAGCUUCAAAUAAAAUGCUUAAUCAGUUCCUGAAUCUUUAUUCAUUAGUCCUAGAAUACUUGUCUUGAGCAUGUUGAGCAGGAAAAGUAGACACUGCUGCAUUCUGCAAACCCAACAAUAAAUAAAAUUAAAAUACUUUACACUAAAAAAUUAAUGUUGUAACAUGAAACAUCCGAAAAUAUAACUACAUAUAUGCAAAGACCUCCAAAAUUAUCAAAGCAAAAUUUCUCCACAAUUAUCAAAUCAAAGAGCCAUAUAAUAUACUAAACAGGUUAUCCACACCAUAAAUCAUCACAUUAAAACAUCAAAACCAACAAAACCAACAGAGUGACUAAUUUCCUCCCAAGAAGCUUAAUGGGUUUGACGAAAUCAAAACCCCUGAAAUGAACCCUAGGAUUCGUUCAUUUGGUUGCAACAGAAAAUAAGAAAAUACCUUGCGAAUGCGUCGGUCGGGGUCUUGCCGUUUGCGUCGUCGGAGUUUUCGGCCGGAGCUCCAGCAGAUUUUCCCAAAAUUGGCGUCGAUCUUGGGAGACAGAGAGAGGAGAGACAAAGAGGCCAGAGCAGCUGGGUCUGUUGUUAGAGAGAGAGAGAGUGAUUUGAAUGAGAUGGAGUGUUUUUUUUUUCUUAACCCAUUGACCCGAUUUGGAAUCCAUCAUUUUUUC
RNAcentral lists this long non-coding RNA (1115 nucleotides) under Panax ginseng (ginseng). RNAcentral's name for it is "long non-coding RNA (PGIN_LNC013115)". Lineage: Eukaryota; Viridiplantae; Streptophyta; Magnoliopsida; Apiales; Araliaceae. The record is from RNAcentral.